CGGGAAACCGGCGUCGGCUGCGGGAUAUGCAGGGAAGCGGCUGGCGGGCUCCGGCAGGGGGCGCUGCACCGACGGCGGGGCGGGGCGCGCGCGCGUCGCGCUGAGGGGGCGCGCGCGCGUCGCGCUGAGGGGUCGCGCGCGCGGCCGCGCACGGACGGACGCGCGCGUGCACGCGCACCGAGCGCCGCGCCCAGACCCCGCACACCGCACACACAUCAAACACACCAAAAACACACAUCAAACACAUCAAACACAUCAAACACAUCAAACACACCCCACACACACCACACACACCCCCCACACACCAAACACACACCAAACACCGAACACACACACCAAACACACCAAAAACACCAAACACACAUCAAACACACACCCCAAACACACCACACACACCACACACACCCCAAACACACACACCAAACACCAAACACACACACCAAACACAGCCCCCACAUAUCAAACACACCACACACACACACCAAACACACCAAACACACCAAACACACAUCAAACACACCCCACACACACACACCAAACACACACCAAACACACAUCAAACACCCCAAACACACCCCACACACAUCAAACACACCACACACACCAAACACACAUCAAAUACACCCCAAACACACACACCCCAAACACACACACAUCAAACACACCCCUAAUACCAAACACACCAAACACACCACACACACCAAACACACACAUCAAACACACCUAACACACAUCAAACACACCCCAAACACCACACUCACCCCACACACACAUCAAACACCACACACACCCCCCGCACACACCAAACACCGCACACACACACACCAAACACCACACACAUGCUGCACAGACCCCGCACACAUGGACACCUCUGCACUCACACAUGCAUGGACACACAUGAGCACACACAUGUACUCACGCGCACACACCUUUAUUUAUGCACAGGGGUGCACACAAACGCAUGCAUUCCCGCACACGGGUACUUCUACAUGUAUGUACACGUGCACAC
This is a long non-coding RNA of Lonchura striata (white-rumped munia), 1009 nucleotides long. The record is from Ensembl. Lineage: Eukaryota; Metazoa; Chordata; Aves; Passeriformes; Estrildidae.